RNAcentral lists this ribosomal RNA (207 nucleotides) under uncultured bacterium. RNAcentral's name for it is "partial 16S ribosomal RNA". It matches the Rfam family "Bacterial small subunit ribosomal RNA", at positions 568 to 774 of the family's 1533-position model. The record is from RNAcentral.
CACGUAGGCGGAUAUUUAAGUCAGGGGUGAAAUCCCAGAGCUCAACUCUGGAACUGCCUUUGAUACUGGGUAUCUUGAGUAUGGAAGAGGUAAGUGGAAUUCUGAGUGUAGAGGUGAAAUUCGUAGAUAUUCGGAGGAACACCAGUGGCGAAGGCGGCUUACUGGUCCAUUACUGACGCUGAGGUGCGAAAGCGUGGGGAGCAAACA